GUGUCAUUCAACCAAAAUUAGCUCCAGGUAUAUGUGUGUGUCGCUGUGUGUAGAAGGAACAAGAAGGAGGCAAUUUCCUACAAAUUGUUAGUGAUUAUCAAAGAUUUUGGGCUUCAAAAUCAUCUUCAAUCUAAACAAGAACAAGUGGUGAGCAUUCUCUAGUAUUAAAAAGCUUUUUUUAAGAUCCUGAUUGGAAAUGGGUAUACUGAAGCGUGCAAAUCAACGGGUCAAGGUUGAAGAUAAGCUAACAAGAACACUACGGGCGAAGAGGUAAGUAAUCUUGUAUCUAAUUAAAAUAAAAGUUCAGUGAAUUAUUAGCAUGUUUAAUAUUUAUAAUUUAUCAAAGAGGAUACAGGUUGUUUUGGCUUGUAUAUUGUAUUUUUGGUACGUGACUUUAAAGAAAGUGAAAACGAGUCGUUUCGACCCGUUACCAAUGUAAGUACUUACUUGAAUCCUCUUUAAAUACAACGUCUUUAGUUUAUGAGUUUUAUAUAGGUUCGUUGUAAAUAUUUGGAAGGAUUAGUCAACAAUUUAUAAAGGAAUAUGUUGUAGAGAUUUCAAAUUUAUGAUUAAAUCUUGUAAGGUUAAAUGAGUUUUUGAUAUGCUAUGAGUGGAAAUUAAACCACAUAAGGUAGAUUUAAGUAUGAUACAUUUGUAUAGGAUGAAUGAAGUAUAACAAAUGAUUGGUUUGAAGUUUUGAACUAGAAAUGGGUCAAAACUGUUUAAAAUUGGAACAAAUAUACUAAGUGCAGGAAUCGGAGUAUCAAAAGCUGAAGUUGGCCUUCCAAACGCCAGAUCAGAGUUUCAAACGCCGGUUUGUUAUGUCGAACGCCACACCAAAACGCCAAUUUCUUUACUUGUUCCGACGUUAAGCUUUAUUCAUUCAGUUUACUUGGUUUGCAUGAUUAUACUAAUGUUUAUAAGGUAUAAAUAUGUGUAGGUAGAGCUCCGCAGUAAGGAUGCACGUGGUCAAGGUCUCGGUUCGGAUUAAAUUAAGAUGCUUUCUUUUGUAUAAAACCUUAGAUUUAACCAAACUAUUAAGUUAAGAAAUCUUUUGUAUGUGACCAUAUAUAUAAACUUACAAGUCAAGCUCGUUAGAUGUCUUUUGAAAUGAAGGAACAAAAUGUAUUUUGAACUCAAUGUAUAUUUAGUUAAAAAAAAAUUGGGACCGUAUUCCG
This 1178-nucleotide long non-coding RNA is filed under the name Helianthus annuus (common sunflower). RNAcentral's name for it is "hypothetical non coding rna". The record is from RNAcentral. Lineage: Eukaryota; Viridiplantae; Streptophyta; Magnoliopsida; Asterales; Asteraceae.